UAAACCGGGAUUAGAUACCCCGCUAUACGGGGGAGUCCCCCAAGGGGGGUAGUAUCGGCUACGGCCCCCAAACCCAAAGAACUUGGCGGCAACCCAUCCUACUAGAGGAGCCUGCCCCGUAACCGAUAUCACCCGUUAACUCCGGCCCCCAGUAUGUCUGUAUACCGCCGUCUAACCCCUAGCUACGAAGGUGGGGUGUCAAGGUCACCACCAAAGACAGGUCGAGGUGCAGCGGAUCUGGGGGGGGUGGUGGGCUACAAUCCCUGUGGGGCGGACCCCCCCCCUACCGGGGGGGGGCAAGAUGGAUUUAGUAGUACCUGGGGGUUAACACCCCCUGGGGAAAUGGGUCUGGGUCGUGUACAUAUCGCCCGUCACUCUCAACAAACUUGAGAU
Molecule: ribosomal RNA, 393 nt
Filed under: Excirolana mayana
Lineage: Eukaryota; Metazoa; Arthropoda; Malacostraca; Isopoda; Cirolanidae
Description: partial 12S ribosomal RNA
Rfam family: Bacterial small subunit ribosomal RNA
Source: RNAcentral